This 663-nucleotide ribosomal RNA is filed under the name uncultured Peptostreptococcaceae bacterium. RNAcentral describes it as "bacterial SSU rRNA". It matches the Rfam family "Bacterial small subunit ribosomal RNA", at positions 94 to 776 of the family's 1533-position model. Lineage: Bacteria; Bacillati; Bacillota; Clostridia; Peptostreptococcales; Peptostreptococcaceae. The record is from RNAcentral.
AGCGGCGGACGGGUGAGUAACGCGUGGGUAACCUGCCCUAUACACAUGGAUAACAUACUGAAAAGUUUACUAAUACAUGAUAAUAUAUAUUUGCGGCAUCGCAGAUGUAUCAAAGUGUUAGCGGUAUAGGAUGGACCCGCGUCUGAUUAGCUAGUUGGUGAGAUAACUGCCCACCAAGGCGACGAUCAGUAGCCGACCUGAGAGGGUGAUCGGCCACAUUGGAACUGAGACACGGUCCAAACUCCUACGGGAGGCAGCAGUGGGGAAUAUUGCACAAUGGGCGAAAGCCUGAUGCAGCAACGCCGCGUGAACGAUGAAGGUCUUCGGAUCGUAAAGUUCUGUUGCAGGGGAAGAUAAUGACGGUACCCUGUGAGGAAGCCCCGGCUAACUACGUGCCAGCAGCCGCGGUAAUACGUAGGGGGCUAGCGUUAUCCGGAUUUACUGGGCGUAAAGGGUGCGUAGGUGGUCCUUCAAGUCGGUGGUUAAAGGCUACGGCUCAACCGUAGUAAGCCGCCGAAACUGGAGGACUUGAGUGCAGGAGAGGAAAGUGGAAUUCCCAGUGUAGCGGUGAAAUGCGUAGAUAUUGGGAGGAACACCAGUAGCGAAGGCGGCUUUCUGGACUGCAACUGACACUGAGGCACGAAAGCGUGGGUAGCAAACAGG